This 679-nucleotide ribosomal RNA is filed under the name Dinophysis fortii. Its description in RNAcentral is "LSU rRNA". It matches the Rfam family "Eukaryotic large subunit ribosomal RNA", at positions 36 to 620 of the family's 3401-position model. Lineage: Eukaryota; Dinophyceae; Dinophysales; Dinophysaceae. The record is from RNAcentral.
UAGCAUAUAAGUAAGCGGGAGGGACAAGAACUAAAACAGGAUCCCCAUAGUAAUGGCGAAUGAACCGGGAUAAACUCAGCAUGGAAAUUGGGGCCUUUGGCUUUGACUUGUAAUCUGGUGAGGCAUUGCCAACAGAGGCGCAUAUGUAAGUCUCUUGGAAAAGAGCAUCAACGAAGGUGAGAGUCCUGAUUGUCAUGUGCAGCCCCCCUGUGCACGGUGUGCCUUCUAAGAGUCACGUUCCUUGGGAUUGGAGCGCAAAUUGGGUGGUAACUUUCAUCUGAAGUUAAACAAUGGUUUGGGACCGAUAGGAAACAAGUACCAUGAGGGAAAGGUGAAAAGGACUUUGGAAAGAGAGUUAAAAGUGCCUGAAAUUGCUGAAGGGGAAGCGAAUGGAACCAGUAGUGCUGGGUGAGAUUGUCACAUGCUACAAGGAUUGGUUGCUGCCACAACGCAAGUGUGAUGGCGAUGUGUGAAUUGCUAGUGUGUGGUGUGUCUUACCUAGUGGGUCAUUGUGGGUUUAUGCAUUAAGAUAAGUCAAAGCAAGUGGGAGCAAGUUUACGAGUUUGUGAAUGUGUGUUGUUAUGCUUGUGCGUAAGCUUUAGUGUUUGUCUGGCUGCAGGGCUGUCCAUCCUCAAGCAGGACUUGUGGUUGCGAUGAGCAUAACCUUCUGCACAGAUCU